RNAcentral lists this small nuclear RNA (135 nucleotides) under Neotoma lepida (desert woodrat). RNAcentral describes it as "U11 spliceosomal RNA". It matches the Rfam family "U11 spliceosomal RNA". Lineage: Eukaryota; Metazoa; Chordata; Mammalia; Rodentia; Cricetidae. The record is from Rfam by way of RNAcentral.
AGAAAGGGCUUUGGUCAGGAGCGGCACACGGAGGGCAACUCAAUUGCUCUGCGGGCAGAAUCGACAUCAAGACAUUUUGGAAGCCUGAUUUUUUAGUACCUAGGCAGCUGGUGAUUGUUGGUCCCCAAUACAAAC